This 484-nucleotide ribosomal RNA is filed under the name uncultured bacterium. RNAcentral's name for it is "partial 16S ribosomal RNA". It matches the Rfam family "Bacterial small subunit ribosomal RNA", at positions 899 to 1397 of the family's 1533-position model. The record is from RNAcentral.
ACUCAAAUGAAUUGACGGGGACCCACACAAGCGGUGGAGCAUGGGGUUUAAUUCGAUGAUAAGCGAAGCACCUCACCCAGACUUGACAUGUCAGAAAUCCCGCAGAAAUGUAGGAGUGCCGCAAGGAAUCUGAACACAGGCGGUGCACGGUCGUCGUCAGCUCGUGCCUUGAGGUGUACUGUUCAGUCAGCCAACGAGCGCAACCCUCAUCUCGUGUUGUUAUUUCACGAGAGACUGCCGCCUCCAAGGCGGAGGAAGGUGAGGAUGACGUCAGAUCAGCGUGCCCUUUAUGUCUGGGGCCACACCCGUGCUACAAUGGUCGGUACAAACGGCAGCUAACCCGCAAGGGGGCGCAAAUCCGAUAAAACCGAUCUCAGUCCGGAUUGAAGUCUGCAACUCGACUUCAUGAAGUUGGAAUCGCUAGUAACCGUGAAUCAGCUACGUCACGGUGAAUAUGUUCCUGGGUCUUGUACACACCGCCCGU